Molecule: long non-coding RNA, 305 nt
Filed under: Gopherus agassizii (Agassiz's desert tortoise)
Lineage: Eukaryota; Metazoa; Chordata; Testudines; Testudinidae
Description: lncRNA (ENSGAGG00000016286.1)
Source: RNAcentral
CUGUUCCACAUGUCCAGCUGACUGUGGGGAAUGCCCACUCACAGCUGAUGCCAAGAUAGCAAUUGCUUUACCAAUAUGUUUAGUCUGUGCUGGCUUCAUUCUGACAAUAGUGUGGUUUCAAUAUCAGAAGCAAAAGAUGUUUUGGGAUGAAAGCUGGAUUAUAGACUUCUCCCGCAUCAAACAAGAUCUCAUGCUACGGACGGCAAUGGGCAGCAUCAUUAGUGCAGCCCAUGCACCCAGCAACUCCAACGCCAGCUGUAUCACUGCCCUGAGUUCUUGCACAGCAGCUGUCAACACAUCCAGGA